This 474-nucleotide long non-coding RNA is filed under the name Homo sapiens (human). RNAcentral describes it as "HSALNT0093933". Lineage: Eukaryota; Metazoa; Chordata; Mammalia; Primates; Hominidae. The record is from RNAcentral.
UUUAUACGUUGGGUAUUAGUAGGAUGGAAGUGAUGAAGGGAGAGAGGCCAAUUAGGCCAUGAUUGCUCUGAGGAUGGGAAGUACGUGAAUGUGGAAUCUUGGGGCAAUAGAACGGACAGAACGUAGUGUAGCAAAGCUUCUCUCCAUAACGUUCCUCUGGCCAAGUGAGAAACAUGAAGAUUAGAAGUGCAGCACAUGCCUUCUGAAGAAGCCAGGCAUGGAACAGUUCUGGGAACACAGCACUGAUAAAACUCUUAGGGAUGAAUUUACCUAUACCUGUGUUUCAGCCUUGUGAUCUGGGUUUGGCACGAUGAAAUGCUACUUUCAGAAAGAUGAGUAUGUCAGAAUCCCUGGUGAUUUCUAACGCUUAUGGAACACAUCACAUAGGAGCAAUUUAGAUGACAAAAAAGAGCACUCUUCAGUCUGGAUUUACACUGUGUUCCUAUUCACCGACACAUCAGCAAACAUUAUAAA